Molecule: long non-coding RNA, 222 nt
Organism: Lathyrus oleraceus (garden pea)
Lineage: Eukaryota; Viridiplantae; Streptophyta; Magnoliopsida; Fabales; Fabaceae
Exons: 3
Source: RefSeq, a predicted model, not a curated record
ACUUCGAAGAACUUAAUUGGAGUUCUAGAUAUAUACGGAUUCGAGAGUUUCAAGACAAACAGCUUCGAGCAAUUUUGUAUCAAUUUGACAAAUGAGAAGUUACAGCAGCAUUUCAACCAGCAUGUCUUCAAAAUGGAGCAAGAGGAAUAUACAAAGGAAGAAAUUGAUUGGAGUUAUAUAGAGUUCGUUGAUAAUCAAGAUGUUCUCGAUCUUAUUGAGAAG